Cottoperca gobio is the source of this 536-nucleotide long non-coding RNA. RefSeq lists it as uncharacterized. The record is from RefSeq and is a predicted model, not a curated record. NCBI's taxonomy places the organism in Eukaryota, Metazoa, Chordata, Actinopteri, Perciformes, Bovichtidae. The transcript is spliced from 4 exons.
GAGCUGUGUCUGAGGGCUCCACGUGCUUUUUGACAAGUCAGUAUGGUUUAUGUACUGUAUGCAUAAGAAGGGGCAAUCUUUUUCUUACCACAAUUGUUUGGACUCAUUUUUAAUAAAGAAGAAACCAAGAGUCUGCAGCUGCUGACACACACUCUCCUACGCAACCACAACGUUCACCUGCAAGGGGGAAGUGAAUCCACCCAAACCAAGAUUCUUUCUGAAGUGAUUUGACACCAAUGUGAAAGAUCUGUAGGCCUGAUGAAGCCUGCGUCAAACAGCCCUCACACACGCUCUUUAAAAAGAUAUCCUUAUCACUGUCCCACCCAUGAGAUCUGCAGGGAGGAAGCCCACAGACCAUCUGCAGUAUGAGAACGCAGUGCAAUCAGCCUCUAACAGUAUCCCACUGUAGAUAUGUGAGAGACAAUGUACCUACUGCUGCACCAUUGUAAGACUUUACUACAAAGUAAGUAGUAAUUUCUUAUUGUGGCAAUACUACUGAGCACACAAAGGUACAGAAGAAUAUUAGGGCAGACAUC